CCUACGGGAGGCAGCAGUGGGGAAUAUUGGACAAUGGGCGAAAGCCUGAUCCAGCCAUGCCGCGUGUGUGAAGAAGGCCUUCGGGUUGUAAAGCACUUUCAGUGGGGAAGAAAGCCUUGGGGCUAAUACCCUCGAGGAAGGACAUCACCCACAGAAGAAGCACCGGCUAACUCCGUGCCAGCAGCCGCGGUAAUACGGAGGGUGCGAGCGUUAAUCGGAAUUACUGGGCGUAAAGCGCGCGUAGGCGGUCUGAUAAGCCGGUUGUGAAAGCCCCGGGCUCAACCUGGGAACGGCAUCCGGAACUGUCGAGCUAGAGUGCAGGAGAGGAAGGUAGAAUUCCCGGUGUAGCGGUGAAAUGCGUAGAGAUCGGGAGGAAUACCAGUGGCGAAGGCGGCCUUCUGGACUGACACUGACGCUGAGGUGCGAAAGCGUGGGUAGCAAACAGGAUUAGAUACCCGAGUAGUC
Molecule: ribosomal RNA, 465 nt
Filed under: Vreelandella stevensii
Lineage: Bacteria; Pseudomonadati; Pseudomonadota; Gammaproteobacteria; Oceanospirillales; Halomonadaceae
Description: partial 16S ribosomal RNA
Rfam family: Bacterial small subunit ribosomal RNA
Source: RNAcentral